Molecule: transfer RNA, 72 nt
Filed under: Marmota monax (woodchuck)
Lineage: Eukaryota; Metazoa; Chordata; Mammalia; Rodentia; Sciuridae
Also listed under: 2 other names
Rfam family: tRNA
About the family: Transfer RNA (tRNA) molecules are approximately 80 nucleotides in length. Their secondary structure includes four short double-helical elements and three loops (D, anti-codon, and T loops).
Source: Rfam by way of RNAcentral
UGGGAUGUAGCUCAAUGGCAGAGUGCUUGUCAAGCAUGCAUGAAAUCCUGGUUUCAAUUCCCAGCACCACAA